Molecule: non-coding RNA, 277 nt
Organism: Zonotrichia albicollis (white-throated sparrow)
Lineage: Eukaryota; Metazoa; Chordata; Aves; Passeriformes; Passerellidae
Source: RefSeq, a predicted model, not a curated record
ACUGCACGGGGAAACACAAGAAGGCUUGUCUCUGCAGACAGGCAAAGGUGAGGGCAUGAAGAUGUAUAACUGUCCCAGGUGGGAGAAGAGUACAGUUCACCCCCUCAGGAUUUGAAUCAGGAAGUUGAAAUGCAUCCUGAAAUUUACCUUGCCCAGAGGUCUGGGAAAACUGGAGCAAGUGGGAAAAGCUUCUUCCUUCAUAAAUGCAGUUGACCAGUGGAGCAGCAUUCAUUAGAAUCUGAAUGAGAAGAAAGAAGGGGAUGUAUGGCAAUUUAUG